Molecule: long non-coding RNA, 685 nt
Organism: Bombina bombina (fire-bellied toad)
Lineage: Eukaryota; Metazoa; Chordata; Amphibia; Anura; Bombinatoridae
Exons: 3
Source: RefSeq, a predicted model, not a curated record
CCCGCCUUCCUGUCUAGCAAGCCGCAACACAAGAACUUUGUUAUCAGUGGUGAGGAGCCUAAGAACUGGAGGGGGCUGAACUGGCUUAACUCAGGUCCUGAUGAUCGAAAGUGCCGGGAAGGCAGCAAAAUAUUCGAAAGGGAUCCAUCAUGAUGUCGAGAAACCUGGCAAACGCUCAAAAGGGCUGACAGUGCUGUUUAGAGGCAACAUCACUGAGAGUUAUUUUGGCCCGGACGUGCCUUUCAGUGCAUGGCACCCCCCCCCCACGGUCCCGACCAACCAACACUGCCCCCUUUGGCACACCCACCCUAUUGCUAUAACGCAUACGCACGCAGCCGCCGGCCUCCAGCAGUGUACAGUUUAACCGGUGCCUGGCACCGCACCAGGCUUUCAGGAGGCUUAGGCAGCGGCUGCAAGUUUGUAUGGCGAUUUGCUGACAGUACUACUGACAGUACUGUAAUCCGGUCAUGCGAGGCUGUUUUGGGUGACCCCAGGGGACAACCAGAGUCUAGAUUGCAAUCCAGGACAGGACCGCUGGACACCCGUCACACCCCCCGGCCAUACAAGAGAGCAGGUAACAUUUUACGCAAGCUGACACUGAGUAAGCCUGACUGAGCAGUUAUUUAUUUGUUAACCAAAAUGGUUAAAUGAUUAUGUUUUCAUAGCCACUGAGACAAAAAAGUUA